This 424-nucleotide ribosomal RNA is filed under the name uncultured bacterium. RNAcentral describes it as "partial 16S ribosomal RNA". It matches the Rfam family "Bacterial small subunit ribosomal RNA", at positions 360 to 776 of the family's 1533-position model. The record is from RNAcentral.
AAUUUUUGACAAUGGGGGAAGCCCUGAUCCAGCCAUCCCGCGUGUAUGAUGAAGGCCUUCGUGUUGUUAAGUACUUUUGGCAGAGAAGAAAAGGUAUUCCCUAAUACGGGAUACUGCUGACGGUAUCUGCAGAAUAAGCACCGGCUAACUCAGUGCCAGCAGCCGCGGUAAUACGUAGGCUGCAAGUGUUAAUCGGAAUUCCUGUGCGUAAAGCGUGUGUAGGCGGUUCGGAAAGAAAGACGUGAAAUCCCCGGGCUCAACCUUGGAACUGCAUUUUUAACUGCCGAGCUAGAGUAUGUCAGAGGGGGGUAGAAUUCCACGUGUAGCAGUGAAAUGCGUAGAUAUGUGGAGGAAUACCGAUGGCGAAGGCAGCCCCCUGGGAUAAUACUGACGCUCAGACACGAAAGCGUGGGGAGCAAACAGG